GCAUGCUUUUUGAGAAAUGUAUCAUCUAGGAAUAAAAUCAAUUGAAGUAUUGGUAAUUAAAUUGUAAUUCCAUGAAGGAAGGAAGUGGUGCAAAAGAUGAAGCUAACUAUUCCUGUUUUUCUCUUUAAGAGUCUACAAUUCAUAAUGGAGCUACUGUACUGGCUAUUGGAAAGAGGAGAUUCUGAAGAUAAGGAGGUAAAACCUGUUUAGAAAUUAAAAAUGAGUUACGAUUUAAAGAAAAUUCAGAUGACUCAUUGUGAGUGCUAGUUCUCUUGUAGGAUGCCACUGGAAAUGUUGAAAUGAAAAAUAUUCAGCCGUCGGUCUUUGAAAUUUCCUGUGAUGUGUUUCAAUCUAGAUGCAAAGAACAUGGAAAAAUCAAAGUGCUCGAGUGGUUUAAAUACGUUUUGGAUGUUCCUGUUUAUAGACUAUAAUACUUUUCCAAUUAAAAUCCUCAGUUGUCAUGC
RNAcentral lists this long non-coding RNA (464 nucleotides) under Pongo abelii (Sumatran orangutan). RNAcentral's name for it is "lincRNA". The record is from RNAcentral. Lineage: Eukaryota; Metazoa; Chordata; Mammalia; Primates; Hominidae.